UACAGAGGGUGCGAGCGUUAAUCGGAAUUACUGGGCGUAAAGCGCACGUAGGUGGCUGAGUCAGUCGAUUGUGAAAGCCCUGGGCUUAACCUGGGAAUUGCAGUCGAUACUACUCAGCUAGAGUAUGGGAGAGGGUAGUGGAAUUCCCGGUGUAGCGGUGAAAUGCGUAGAUAUCGGGAGGAACAUCAGUGGCGAAGGCGGCUACCUGGCCCAAUACUGACACUCAGGUGCGACAGCGUGGGGAGCAAACAGG
This 253-nucleotide ribosomal RNA is filed under the name uncultured bacterium. RNAcentral describes it as "partial 16S ribosomal RNA". It matches the Rfam family "Bacterial small subunit ribosomal RNA", at positions 524 to 776 of the family's 1533-position model. The record is from RNAcentral.